Molecule: long non-coding RNA, 1007 nt
Filed under: Homo sapiens (human)
Lineage: Eukaryota; Metazoa; Chordata; Mammalia; Primates; Hominidae
Description: HSALNT0390607
Source: RNAcentral
UCCCCAGGUCUCCUCAAGCCCAGAGCAAUCUGGUGCCUAUGACCCCACAAGCCCUAGAAAAGGAAUGGGAGAGGAGGGAGAGUUGGAGGAAGCCGGUGGGUAGACAAGGUCAAAACACAGGGGCAGUGGGUGCUGAUGAAGCCAUGACCAGGGUCAUGGAAGGGGUGGAGGAAGGUUCCCAGCUGCCUAGGCCAUAGAAGCCUGGCCCACCAGGGCUGGAAGAGAGCUUAGAUAUCACCCUGUCCACGUUUCUCAAGAAAUGAAGUCCCAGAGGCAUCAAGGAGCUUAUUGAGAUCACACAGUGUAUAAAAGAGAACCCUGGGAGGAAGAUUCUCUUCUAUGAUUGUCUCUAUUUUACGGAUGUGAAAGUAGAGGCCCAGAGACGUGCCGAGGUGAUGUGGCAAGGUCAGGGAGCCACAGAGCCUAAGAGGGCAGCAGUUUAAGAGGACAUAAGAGGCCCCCGCUGGACGAUGCUGCGGCCCCCACCCCCGCCUCACGGGUACACACCCGCGGAGCACACCCCGUGUGCUCCCCGUGUGGCGCCUGCCAGUGGUCUCUGGAACCUGAUGGGGAAGAGGUCAGCUUCCUGAUUGAGCACAGAAGCCCUUCCCAUUUUACAGAUGAGGAAACUGACCUCCGGAGAGGAACGUGACCUUCUCAAAGAUUCCUUUUUUACUAGGAAAGAUUGUUAAAUCCCUCUCCCUACGUCCCCUACUCAAUGACUCAUCGGCCCCACGGACUUGUUCGGGAGUGGGAGCGCCUGUGUAUCCCAGUUCCCCCUUGGAAAUAGACUCGACUCCUGGACUGUUAGCCUCGGUAUUUAGAGAGACAUCCCCCUGGCUUGGCCCAGGGGCCGCUCGCAGGGGCUGUCGCCGUGCCAAGGGCCCCCCCACCUCUGCCCCAAAGUCCCUCCCAGGGAGGCGCUGUCGCAACCCGCGGGACGGGGGCAGGGAGACCGGACCCAGAGGCACUGGGGUAGGGCUCGGCAGGGCGGGUCCGGGCGGAGC